Pongo pygmaeus (Bornean orangutan) is the source of this 566-nucleotide long non-coding RNA. RefSeq lists it as uncharacterized. NCBI's taxonomy places the organism in Eukaryota, Metazoa, Chordata, Mammalia, Primates, Hominidae. The record is from RefSeq and is a predicted model, not a curated record. The transcript is spliced from 3 exons.
UGGAAGCUGGGAUUCCAAUGGCAGGCAGGAAAUCCUCUAGGAAGGGAUCGUGACCUUCCUUGGGAUCCCUGUUUCCCCUUUUUAUUCCCUUUUCACCCAGUAAAACCCUGCUUUGCUCACCCUUUAAAGCAUCCGUGAGCGUAAAUUUUUGUGGCCAUGGGACGGACAAGAACCACAUGUUUAGCUGAAGUCCUGUGACAUUUUGGUGUGCAGCGUGGGAGCUCCAAAAGUGAUGCCAGAGGAUGCUAUAGAAAAAUGCGUGCCCUCUUGUAAUAUUUUGUUCAAGUUCUGAUCAGAAGGAUGAAUGAUGGAGCCCAAGAAGCCAGUCUCAUUGUGUUGCUCAGGCUGGAGUCCAGUGGCACGAUCUCGGCUCAGUGCAACCUCCGCCUCCUGGGUUCAAGCAGUUCUACAUCAGCGUCCCGAGUAGCUGGGAUUACAGGCACCCACUACCACGCCUGGGGCUAAUGUUGGUCAGGCUGGCUCGAACUCCUGACCUCAAGAGAUCCACCUGCUUUCGCCUCCCAAAGUUCUGGGAUUACAGGCAUAAGCUGCCACACCCAGCCUCC